ACGGAGGAUGCGAGCGUUAUCCGGAUUUAUUGGGUUUAAAGGGUGCGUAGGUGGACUGUUUAGUCAGUGGUGAAAUACUGAUGCUCAACGUUAGCAUUGCCGUUGAAACUGACAGUCUUGAGAGUGAUUGAGGCAGGCGGAAUGCGUGGUUGAGGGGUGAAAUACAAAAAACCCACACAGAACCCCAAAGGCGAGGGCAGCGACCAAAGCCACAACUGACACUGAAGCACGAAAGCGUGGGGAUCAAACAG
RNAcentral lists this ribosomal RNA (251 nucleotides) under uncultured prokaryote. RNAcentral describes it as "partial 16S rRNA". It matches the Rfam family "Bacterial small subunit ribosomal RNA", at positions 525 to 775 of the family's 1533-position model. The record is from RNAcentral.